This 1372-nucleotide ribosomal RNA is filed under the name uncultured bacterium. RNAcentral describes it as "bacterial SSU rRNA". It matches the Rfam family "Bacterial small subunit ribosomal RNA", at positions 28 to 1381 of the family's 1533-position model. The record is from RNAcentral.
GAUGAACGCUGGCGGCGUGCCUAAUACAUGCAAGUCGAGCGAACGGACGAGAAGCUUGCUUCUCUGAUGUUAGCGGCGGACGGGUGAGUAACACGUGGAUAACCUACCUAUAAGACUGGGAUAACUUCGGGAAACCGGAGCUAAUACCGGAUAAUAUUUUGAACCGCAUGGUUCAAAAGUGAAAGACGGUCUUGCUGUCACUUAUAGAUGGAUCCGCGCUGCAUUAGCUAGUUGGUAAGGUAACGGCUUACCAAGGCAACGAUGCAUAGCCGACCUGAGAGGGUGAUCGGCCACACUGGAACUGAGACACGGUCCAGACUCCUACGGGAGGCAGCAGUAGGGAAUCUUCCGCAAUGGGCGAAAGCCUGACGGAGCAACGCCGCGUGAGUGAUGAAGGUCUUCGGAUCGUAAAACUCUGUUAUCAGGGAAGAACAUAUGUGUAAGUAACUGUGCACAUCUUGACGGUACCUAAUCAGAAAGCCACGGCUAACUACGUGCCAGCAGCCGCGGUAAUACGUAGGUGGCAAGCGUUAUCCGGAAUUAUUGGGCGUAAAGCGCGCGUAGGCGGUUUUUUAAGUCUGAUGUGAAAGCCCACGGCUCAACCGUGGAGGGUCAUUGGAAACUGGAAAACUUGAGUGCAGAAGAGGAAAGUGGAAUUCCAUGUGUAGCGGUGAAAUGCGCAGAGAUAUGGAGGAACACCAGUGGCGAAGGCGACUUUCUGGUCUGUAACUGACGCUGAUGUGCGAAAGCGUGGGGAUCAAACAGGAUUAGAUACCCUGGUAGUCCACGCCGUAAACGAUGAGUGCUAAGUGUUAGGGGGUUUCCGCCCCUUAGUGCUGCAGCUAACGCAUUAAGCACUCCGCCUGGGGAGUACGACCGCAAGGUUGAAACUCAAAGGAAUUGACGGGGACCCGCACAAGCGGUGGAGCAUGUGGUUUAAUUCGAAGCAACGCGAAGAACCUUACCAAAUCUUGACAUCCUUUGACAACUCUAGAGAUAGAGCCUUCCCCUUCGGGGGACAAAGUGACAGGUGGUGCAUGGUUGUCGUCAGCUCGUGUCGUGAGAUGUUGGGUUAAGUCCCGCAACGAGCGCAACCCUUAAGCUUAGUUGCCAUCAUUAAGUUGGGCACUCUAAGUUGACUGCCGGUGACAAACCGGAGGAAGGUGGGGAUGACGUCAAAUCAUCAUGCCCCUUAUGAUUUGGGCUACACACGUGCUACAAUGGACAAUACAAAGGGCAGCGAAACCGCGAGGUCAAGCAAAUCCCAUAAAGUUGUUCUCAGUUCGGAUUGUAGUCUGCAACUCGACUACAUGAAGCUGGAAUCGCUAGUAAUCGUAGAUCAGCAUGCUACGGUGAAUACGUUCCCGGGUCU